This 107-nucleotide small nuclear RNA is filed under the name Phocoena sinus (vaquita). Lineage: Eukaryota; Metazoa; Chordata; Mammalia; Artiodactyla; Phocoenidae. RNAcentral also lists the same sequence under 1 other name. The record is from RNAcentral.
GUGUUCACUUCAGCAGCACAUAUACUAAAAUCGGAACGAUACAAAGAAGAUUAUCAUGGCCCCUGCGCAAGGAUGACUCAUAUAUUCAAGAAGCAGUCCAUAUUUUU